UCUUUUGGUGUGAUGGCCGCCGCCAAGGCAGGAAUUGGGGGAUUCUGUUAUUCCGGACGGCUUGGGGGGCUCUCUGUACCAUCAGAAGGCCACCGACAGCCCCCAGGUUACCGAGGGCCUGUUAAUUGUGUGCCAGAGAGGUGGGAAGCGGUGUGCUGGGUUAAGCUUGGGGCCUGCUGUCGCUAGAUUGGCCUGGGGCCUCUGGCAGCUAAGGGCUAGAGGAGGGGCUCCAGCCUGCCAGACCCUAACCGUCUGGCUUUCAGCCUUCAAAAUAUCUGGGUGGCCAGCGCCUAAGCAUUUUGGGGCAUGCCUUGUUUUGUUGUGGUUUGUAUCCUGCACCCCUCCCACUUUUCUUACAGUGUUGUACUGUGUUCCAUUAGUCGUUGAUGCUCAGGACCCUAUUUGAGGUUAGGUUGGGCUUGUUUUCUUGGGUCUGGUGGGAUUUGUGCAACAGGUGAAAUUUUGGAAAGUCUGAAGGGCAAUAUCCUGAGUGUUGUCUGUCUUGUUUUCGGUGUGACAAACUGCGUGAGUGGUGAAAGUGCCACUGAACGUGUGCUUCACCUUCUCUUGCAUGUGGUGAACCUUGCCCCUGUUUGCUAAUGCCCACAGGCAGUGUUCGGCAGUUCCUCCUUGCGAAAUGCCUUUCUGUUAACUUGGAUGUGUUCUUAAACCUUUGCGAGCCUCUGGAAGACUGCUUUGCAGUUAGUUGGUCGUAGAACAGUAUUGUAGAACAGUAUUGCAAAAAAUGAAUGUGAAACAAAUACCAGCGUUACAAUUACCCUUAGUUCUAGGGAGCAAGCCCCUUCACCUUAGUGGUGCUGUGGGGUGGUUUGGGUACUUAAGGGAAUCAGAUUUGCUUUUAGAUGCGUUACCUUACUCUUGGCUCCCAGGGUUCCUCUGCCUGUUGGCACACCUUGAUCUUACUUGUUUUUCCAUACUCUCUUAGCUUGAGUCAAAAUGGGACACUGUGUACUGACAUGUAACUGCAUGUAUCAGAAUCUCAGGAUAACACCAAAUUGCCAAGCAGAGAGCCCUUCUGGACAUUUGUGAGUAGACACAUCUCUAAGAAAUAGUGAGAUUUUACACCCAAACAUUUUAACAUUUAAUCCCUGAGGCCUUUGUUUUGUACUCUGCUUUCUACCCACAUCAUUUCAAUUCUGCUGGUGUGAAAUGUUUUUUGAAAUACAAGGUCAGUUAUACUUGCAGAAAAAAAUGUGGUAAUAACUACUACCUUCUGGAGAACAUGAUUCCUAAGGUUGUGCAUAUGUAUUUGAUAAAUGUGUCAAAGGUGAUCAUUUUGAAACUUAGGGUUUGUAUGGUUUUGGCAAAACUCCUUUCAGUGAGCUAUAAUAGCACCAAAGAGUAACUGGUAGCAUUCUUUUUGUUGUUGUUGUUUAAUUAAUUCCUUUUUAAAAUUAGCCUCCACACCUAACAUGGGGUUUGAACUCAUGAUCCGUAGAUCAAGAGUCACAUGCUUUAUCAACUGAGCCAGCCGGGCGCCCCACUGGUAAUGUUCUUGAUGCAGGUGUUAUAAAUGAAAGCCUUUGGUUCUGCUGUUCAUUCAAAAAUAAAUACAAACCUACUUCCUAAUAAUACAGUGUGGAAGAUAACAAAAAAAUAAAGUUUUUGUUUUAGUUUGUAACCAAAAUUUGGAAACACUUGUGGGGAGGGAUUGAGUAGGAAUAUCUGUUUGAGCCCUUUAUGUAAAUCCUUUCUAAUUUCAUUUCCCUAUACAAUACUGUUCACAUUGCUGAAAACACAGUUUUUUUAUUAAUGUACUUCUGCAUCUGUGAACAUUUGUGCAUGGUAAAACUGCACAUACAAGACAACAAAACCACCCAUUCAGAAUUUGGCCCUUAGUUUUCCUUCACAGUAUUUGGAGUGGAAGAAUUGUUGAUUGUACUUUGUGCACUUGUUUAUAUAUUUUGUUUUAAAUAACAAUACUCUUAAACAUGGAGUGCAUCUCUACCCACUCACUCCACCUUUUUUUGUAGGAUAAUUAGGUGUCUGAAAGAAAGAGAAAAAGUUUUAAAAUUUUUUCAUGCCUUUCAAUGAAUCUUAUUUUCUGCUUCUACCUACAUAUAUUUCCAGGACAGGAUAUAUUAUUUCUGCUCUGCUGGAUAUUAUUUCUUGAAGACAGGUUAUUAAUCAUAGGAUUUUUAUAGGCAAGACACAACACACCAAUGCUUACAGCAAAAGGUUGUAUCUAGGUUAAAAGAUAUUACUUUGUUUCCUAUUGGAAAGAAAGCAAGAUCAUAUGCAUAUAUUCCAAAACUUAAAGGAUUCUAUCUAUAUCUUUUUUUUUUUUUUUUUAAGAUUUUAUUUAUUUGAGAGAGAAAGAGUGAAUGAGAGAGAGGAGGAGGAGGAGGGGGAGACAGAAAAGCAGACUCCCUCCUGAGCAGAGAACCCGACCUGGAGCUUGAUUCCAGGACUCUGGGAUCAUGACCUGAGCUGAAUGCAGACACUUAACAAACUGAGCUAUCUAUGCACUCCAGAUUCUGUCUAGAUCUUAGAAAUUCAAGAGCCCUUAAGAGAUUAUUUUGCUUUGUCCUCAGCUUUCCUUAUUUUUCAUUUUGUUUAACUUACUCCCUUGGUGUGCUUGUUUGGCUCUAAAACUUAAAUGGCAUUUUUGUUUAUUUUGGUACUUUUUUCCAAAUUAUUUAUUCAACUUUUAAAAAUCAUUUUUCCUCUAAAAUAUCCAUAAUAUUCAUUCUAAAUAUCCAUGCUUCAAGAAGUCAAGAAGAAUAUUCUUGAAAAAAAAAAAAAUAGAGGAGUC
Molecule: long non-coding RNA, 2776 nt
Organism: Lutra lutra (Eurasian river otter)
Lineage: Eukaryota; Metazoa; Chordata; Mammalia; Carnivora; Mustelidae
Exons: 2
Source: RefSeq, a predicted model, not a curated record